GGUUGCUGUUUAUUGGCAAUACCACCACAUGAAGCUAAGCAGGGUUGGGACCAUUAGUGCUCGGAUGGGAGACUACCUGGGAAUACCAGGGGCAGCAGGCU
This 101-nucleotide ribosomal RNA is filed under the name Otolemur garnettii (small-eared galago). The record is from RNAcentral. Lineage: Eukaryota; Metazoa; Chordata; Mammalia; Primates; Galagidae.